RNAcentral lists this long non-coding RNA (12331 nucleotides) under Daucus carota (carrot). Its description in RNAcentral is "long non-coding RNA (DCAR_LNC003340)". Lineage: Eukaryota; Viridiplantae; Streptophyta; Magnoliopsida; Apiales; Apiaceae. The record is from RNAcentral.
GAUAUCCCUGACAUUGUCAAACUGUUCUAUUUCACCGAUGACAUCUGUAAUUAAAGAAAAUGAUGGUAGAAAACAUAUAACAUCUUAGUAGAGUGCAAAUGAGUAUUCAAUUUGAUAUCGUAAGAUCUAUCUAUCUAUGUAUAUACUAAAUCCAUAUACUAAAUCGCUGAACCUGUAGAGAAAGACUAUUUUUUCUCUUUCUCGUAGUUGUUAGUGUGUACCCAUGGGCACACACUAGAAAGAUCCAUAUAUAAAACACACACACACAGGGUCCUACUCCAAAAGAAAAUACCAAAAUAGAAACUAAAUAGAAACCAAUGCGAUUAACUAGAAUGAUGCGGGUUUUCGGACUGAGGAUGGACCCCGAGGUGGGCCUAAACGGGGUCUAAGUGGGGCCUAAUAAGGCUAGGUCGGGGCCUAGUGGGAUCGUGGUGGGGACAAGGUUUGGCUCUUUAAGACUGUCCGGAGCCUGUCUAGGGCAUGUGAGGAUCCUUGGCGAGGCCCCGAUGGGCCCGCGGUGGAUUGAAUGAGGGUGAGGGUGGGCCUAGGUGGGUGAUGACAUAUAGGGGUGGGUGUUGACAUAUAGGGUUGGGUGAGGUCAUUUAGGUAUAGUUUCUUUUGGUUUCCAUUUUAGUUUUUAUUUUAGUGGGUUCUAUUUGAGCAAUUGUCUAUAUACAUAGAUACAUACAUAUAUAUAUAUAGGCUCAUGAUAAAAUACAAACCAAUCUUAAAAUAAAAACUAAAAACCAUUAUUAACGCCAUUACUUUACCCAUAUGUCUCUCACCAACCCCAUUUUUUCUCUCUCUUCUUUCAACUCCGCACAUCCGCCGUCACUAUCCACUGCCUCACUACUCCUGACUUCACCAUCACCAUUAUUACCUCUGCCCAACCUCUCCCCACCAUCAGCAUCUUCAUCCUUGCUUCGCUAUCACCAUCUUAGCCUUUCUCUGCCAUCACCAUCUUUUUCCUUUUCCCGUCAUGACUAUCUCUCUCAUCUAUGUUCCCCUUCCUCUAUCUUUUUCGAACAAUCUUUCUCUCAAGAAUGAUUAGAGCUCAGUCAUGGAUUUUAACGUUGUUAAAAUUCUAAUAUAGCUGUUAAUAUAUUUAUAAAAAUCGAUGAUUUCUUCCAUACAAAUUAGUGAUAUUCGCUUUACAAAAUAUUGAUAUACAUUGUAAAAAUUAGUGAUAUUUGGUUUGGAAAAUAGUGAUUUGUGUUACAAAAAUUAGUGAUUCCUUCUAAUAAGUUAGAGAAUUGUAUCUAGUGUUACUGAUGAUUGGCGAUAGCUGGGAUAUAUUAAUAAUCUAAUUGUAAUGUGAGAUGAAUGGAAAGUGACGAUGUACAGGAUGUCAUCGUGAAGAUGAAGAAGAUGAACUACAUUGCGUGUUUAUUUGUUUUGUGUGUAUAAGAUGUGUAUAUUAGGGUGUAAUUAGAAAAAGGUGGGCGGCUGUUCAAAAAUUAGUGGGCUGGGUUGUAAUUUGUUUGGGUUGGGCUGCAUUUGUAGUUUGUAGAAUAAGAAGGUUUGAAAAAGAAUAUAUAUAUAUAUAUAUACACACAUAUAUAUAUAUAUAUAUAUAUAUAUAUAUAUAUAUACACAUUCUACAUGAAUAUAUAUAUGGGGAUAGAUAUAUGGAUGGAUUGAUGGAUUGCCCAAGUACAAACCAAUAUUAAAGUGAAAAUUACAUAUAUAAUGAUCCCUGGAAGUCACCAUCAUGUCUUAAGAAAUCACACAUAAUCCCCCGUGUUUCAAAUUUGAUCUAUCCCUCAAUCAGUGAUUUUUUAUUUUUGAAAUAUGACUUUAUUCUAUUUUUUUCUUCUCCAUAUGAUUUAGAAUUUAUUUUUUAUUUAACUUUUAGUUUUUAAUUUUAUGAAGGUUUAAUUAUAGUUAAGUAUUACAAACACACACACACACACACACAUAUACUUUAAUUUAAUGAGUAAUAGACUUUUUUUAUGUAAUGAACAUUAUGUAUUAGUAAUUAUUGAGAAACUUGUUAUUAUAUUUUAUAAGAACUUAAUUUUUAAAAUUAAAUUUUUUGUAAAUUGAAUAUAUUAUAAUUUAAAUGAUAAGCUUUCUACAAUAUAAUUUAUUUGUAUCUCAAAAAUAGUAACAUAAUAUUAGUAACCACAACUAACUUAACCUAUAAGGUUAUCUUUAAUUUUUAAAAAAUUAAUUAUUCAUCAUGAACAAUUUUUUUUUAUUUUUCUCUAUUUAAUCAAAAUUAAUCUAGAAGUGUUUGUAUACUUUGACACUUAUAUAAAAUAGGUGGUUUAUAAAGCAAAAAAAUUGCUAGUUGUUUGCAUCAACACUUUUCUAAUUGGACAUUAUUCAGGGUUUUAUUCCAAAAAGAUAUAACUAUGAACAAACCUUUUUGCCACUAGGCCCAACCCAUUAUGUGAGGAACUUAUAUUAGUAUCCGGUUUGUGCAUAGUAAAACCCUAAUCUAAGUAGCAGCCCGCCUCUCCACAUCCCUUCUCAUCAUCUUGGUUCCAUCUCAACCUAAUCUAGGUAUCACUUAGUCCUCUCCCGAUCUCUUUGCUGAACCCUCUCUGGAUCUCACUUAGUCCUCUCCGAUCUCUUUGCUGAACCCUCUAUGGAUCUUUUCUGAUCUCAUUGGUUACUCCAGAUCUCUUUGGUGAGCCCUCUGUGGAUGUGGAUCUCUUCUGAUCUCAUGGGUGGCACGCUUGGUAAACAUGUCUGUUAGUGGUUUUUCAUUUCAGUAGCUAGAUUUGACCUUUGGUGUAUCUUUUGCUUAAUGAUUGUAUAUUUAGGCUAUACAUAUAUGAUGAAUUUGUUGUGAUCUCUAUUCCUCAUAUAUAUCAUAUAAGACCUUCAUUUAAUUGAAUUUUAAUUUUAAUAUAUUAUAUUCAUAAAUUGAUGAAUUUAUUAUGAAAUAUUUGUUUGACUUUUAUUUAAAUGAAAAAAAUAGUAAAAGAAUAUGAAUAAUGAUUCUUUGCAUCAUUAUACACUAUCCAAAACUGCAAGAGUAGUGAAAACUUUUUAUUUUUAUGACCACUAUGCAAGCAAAAUAGAUCACAUAAGUGAAUAAGGAGUCUAUGAAUGUGUUAUAUAUAUAUAUAUUGUAUUUAAUAAUUUUUUACUUAUUUUUAUUGUGUUGAAUCUUUGUGCUAUUACAUUUGAAUAUUGCACCUUCAACAUUUUAAUAUACACGUGGCUAAUUAUUUUUUUGCAGCAACUCUCCUCAUAUAGGUGAUGAUAAACAAUAAAGAAAAUGCUCCAGUAUUCUCUAAAUUAAUUAUAUUCUCCAGGUAGUAUAACAUAAACUUUUAGUUAUAACAUUACAACAGUAAUAUAUUUUUUGUACCUUAAUUAAUAGUAUUCAUACUUUGCUGUGUAGAUUUAUUAAGAUAUUAUAGUCAGGUACACCGUAUAUGUGGCUUGGAGAAGUUAACUAAACAGUAAAUUCAUAGGAUUAAGAUAACACAACUACUCAACUUUGAAGAUAUAAAAAUUUAGUAAGGUUAUGAUUAAAUGUGAAUGAAACUAUCUAAUUAAGCAAUGACAGGACUUGGAGAUGAUUAGAAAAUAUUUUACAUAGGUAACUUAAAAGGUAAUCUAAGUUCAACAGAAAUUAAAAUCUGAGCACUUGCAACAAAGGUAGACCGCUUAAACAGGUAUUGUUGUCUUGUUUAUGAAGGUGUUAGAGCGAGUCCAACAAUGUCCUAAAUUGAUGUCCCAAGUUAAAAUAUAAGGCAAUUGGAUGAAAUGUGAGCUCCAACAAUGUUCUAGUGGUGCCUUAAACCACUAGGACAUCCAACAAGUGCCUCAUUUUUGGGGCACUUCUAAGCAUGUCCUAAACUAAUUUUCUCAUUAAAAUAUUAACUACCCACCAUCUCAAUGCACCUCUCUCCUCUUACUUUUUCACUUCCCUCCAAUUCUAAUUCAAAUAAAUUAUUAGUUUAAUAAUAAGGGCACACAUAUAAGGCAUGUUUGUUGGAGUUCAUGUAUCAAAAAGAUAUUAAUUAACUUCAGCCUACCUUAUUUCUGGGUUGCAUCAAUGCAUAUACACCUGACCUUGUUGCCGUUUUUUGACUUCCACAAGCUUAGACUAUUAAUAUUAUCCUGCUUCAUUCUUAUCUAGCUGUAUAUAUAUAUUAUGGUUUAACUUUCCCAUGCACGUACAUCUGUUAUUUUAAUCCUGCUAGCUGUAUUUGACUAGAUUGCUGCUUGCUUCCAUUUAUAUCCCAGAAGACCUGGAAUCUAUUGUGCUGCAUUUACCUCUGCUGCAUGCUUACUAUUCAAACCAAUUUGUUAUAAUUAAUAUAUUGCUAGCUGGAGAGUUUGAAAUUCUAACAAUAUUUUUCUGUACAGGAGGUAAUGUGGAUAUGAAAGUGAAAUCCAGUGCAGAGAACAACUUUGUAACAACUGUUGCUGAAAUACCCAAAAAAGGUGAUUUUCAGCCUACUAUACCUAGCAAGGAACCUGGGAAACAUGUGUAUAAGAGAAGUAAAGUUCAUCAGCAGAGUGGUGUGCAAGUCAAAACUCUUGACAGUGAAUGACACUAUCAAGGUAUGUGCUGGAACUUAUUUCAUAUUAGAUACAUGCAAGUAAUUAUUUAGCUGAAGACCAUUCUUUGCAUGUGAUUUUUUAUGCGCUUUUUAAUUGCUGGAAGAUGUUGAGGAAAAAUAUAUCUGUAACUACUAUAAUAGUCUAUAUUUGGUCCAGUUUAUUUUGUGGCAGUUAGAUUAACCAUUAUCAAUAAUUCAUUUCAUGAUUUUCAGCUUUUCUAUUUUUAUUUUACGGCUAUGAAAAUUCUACUACUGCUAUUGUAUUGGUAACAGAAAGUUUUGUUAUUUUUUGAAGUAGUUCUGUCUGUAAACAGACAAGAUGAUUCCGAAACUCCUCCAUUUAAUCAAGAGAAUGCAAUGGAGUCCGCUCCACUUCAGAAAAAGGAUGGUCCGGGUAAGCUCAUUGUUUGAACUAUAAUUGUGAUAUUAUGAUCUGGAAUCUUGUUAUGUUAUCCAUGAAAUUUACCUGUUAAAAAUCUCAAUCAACAUGCUGCAUCAAUUGAUAUAGGUGGUGGAGUUGGAACCCCUGCCAUUGUAGGCAUUGAUGCUAUGGAGAACGAACAGAGUUUGCCAUUUGUUAAGAAUCACCUACUUUGUGAAGAUAUCCAUUCUAUGGAAACCUAUAAGUAAAAUGACACAGAAGCCACACUUCGCCCCACUGUACGNNNNNNNNNNNNNNNNNNNNNNNNNNNNNNNNNNNNNNNNNNNNNNNNNNNNNNNNNNNNNNNNNNNNNNNNNNNNNNNNNNNNNNNNNNNNNNNNNNNNNNNNNNNUUUUUUUUUUUUUUUUUUUUUUUCUGGUUUUCAAACUCAGUACUAUAUAUUGAACACAAGCAAAAUGAUGUGGGUAACAUUAAUGAGUGGUGAUGGAUGUAGAUGGUAUUUUUGAAUGAGUGGUUAUUAGGAUUAGAUCUCAUAUCUCAUGUUACUAUUGCUUUUCAUUGGAGAAGUCUCUCAAACUUUCUCUCUCUCUCUUUCUAUAUAUAUAGGCCACACAUAAAAUAAGAUGGUUUGUAGUGGAAGAAGACUGUAUAUAUAUAUACAUACAUAUAUAUAUAUAUAUAUAUGGGUAUAUGAGUAAAGUUCAAUGGAGACCAUUUUAUUGGAGACGGUGGAGACCACUUAUUAUGUUCUGCAAUCAAAACACUAUAAAAUACAUUAUUUUGUGAAGUAUGUUUAACAAAUAUCAUGUAUUCAUUAAAAUUGUUGAAGAUCAUCUAUGUUUCAUAAGUAUAUAAUGUAUGUUCUGCAAACUAAAUAUAUUUCGUAGAAUAUAACAUUUUGUAAUGUUUUACAUGCGAAACUUAUAUGAUAUUCAAGAUUUUAAAGUGAAAUAAUGAUUUUGUACAACAUGAUGUGCAAAACUAUACGUUUUGCAAUGUUUUUAUGCAAUAUUUCACUGGUAGAACAUAAGUGGUCUCCACGGUUUCCAAUAAAAUGGUCUACAUAGAACUUUACUCUGGGGAUAGAUAUAUGGAUGGAUUGAUGGAUUGCCCAAGUACAAACCAAUAUUAAAGUGAAAAUUACAUAUAUAAUGAUCCCCAGAAGUCACCAUCAUGUCUUAAGAAAUCACACAUAAUCCCCCGUGUUUCAAAUUUGAUCUUUCCCUCAAUCAGUGAUUUCUUAUUUUUGAAAUAUGACUUUAUUCUAUUUUUUUCUUCUCCCAACAUUUAAUGUGCAUACCAUAUGUGAUAUAUUUGGAUAUGAUGUAGAAUUUAUUUUUUAUUUAACUUUUAGUUUUUAAUUUUAUGAAGGUUCAUAGUUAAGUAUUACAAACACACACACACAUAUAUACUUUAAUUUAAUUAGUAAUAGACUUUUUUUAUGUAAUGAACAUUAUGUAUUAGUAAUUAUUGAGAAACUUGUUAUUAUAUUUAAUAAGAACUUAAUUUUUAAAAUUAAAUUUUUCUUAAAUUGAAUAUAUUAUAAUUUAAAUGAUAAACUUUCUACAAUAUAAUUUAUUUGUAUCUCAAAAAUAGUAACAUAAUAUUAGUAACCACAACUAACUUAACCUAUAAGGUUAUCUUUAAUUUUUAAAAAAUUAAUUAUUCAUCAUGAACAAAUUUUUUUAUUUUUCUCUAUUUAAUCAAAAUUAAUCUAGAAGUGUUUGUAUACUUUGACACUUAUAUAAAAUAGGUGGUUUAUAAAGCAAAAAAAUUGCUAGUUGUUUGCUUCAACACUUAAUUAAUCUAAUUGGACAUUAUUAAGGGUUUUAUUCCAAAAAGAUAUAACUAAGAACAAACUUUUUUGCCACUAGGCCCAACCCAUCAUGUGAGGAACUUAUAUUAGUAUCUGGUUUGUGCAUAGUAAAACCCUAAUCUAAGUAGCAGCCCGCCUCCCCACAUCCCUUCUCAUCAUCUUGGUUCCAUCUCACCCUAAUCAAGGUAUCACUGAGUCCUCUCCCGAUCUCUUUGUUGAACCCUCUCUGGAUCUCUUCUGAUCUCAUUGGUUACUCCAGAUCUCUUUGGUGAGCCCUAUGUGGAUGUGGAUCUCUUCUGAUCUCAUGGGUGGUGGUAAACAUGUCUGUUAGUGGUUUUUCAUUUCAGUAGCUAGAUUUGACCUUUGGUGUAUCUUUUGCUUAAUGAUUGUAUAUUUAGGCUAAACAUAUAUGAUGAAUUUGUUGUGAUCUCUAUUCCUCAUAUAUUUCAUAUAAGACCUUCAUUUAAUUGAAUUUUAAUUUUAAUAUAUUAUAUUCAUAAAUUGAUGAAUUUAUUAUGAAAUAUUUGUUAGACUUUUAUUUAAAUGAAAAAAAUACUAAAAGAAUAUGAAUAAUGAUUCUUUGCAUCAUUAUACACUAUCCAAAACUGCAAUAGUAGUGAAAACUUUUUAUUUUUAUGUCCACUAUGCAAGCAAAAUAGAUCACAUAAGUGAAUAAGGAGUCUAUGAAUGUGUUAUAUAUAUAGUGUAUUUAAUAAUUUUUCACUUAUUUUUAUUGUGUUGAAUUUUUGUGCUAUUACAUUUGAAUAUUGCACCUUCAACAUUUUAAUAUACACGUGGCUAAUUAUUUUUUUGCAGCAACUCUCCUCAUAUAGGUGAUGAUAAACAAUGAAGAAAAUGCUCCAGUAUUCUCUAAAUUAAUUAUAUUCUCCAGGUAGUAUAACAUAAACUUUUUGUUAUAACAUUACAACAGUAAUAUAUUUUUUGUACCUUAAUUAAUAGUAUUCAUACUUUGUUGUGUAGAUUUAUUAAGAUAUUAUAGUUAGGUACACCGUACAUGUGGCUUGGAGAAGUUAACUAAACAGUAAAUUCAUAGGAUUAAGAUAACACAACUACUCAACUUUGAAGAUAUAAAAAUUUAGUAAGUUUAUAAUUAAAUUUGAAUGAAACUAUCUAAUUAAGCAAUUACAGGACUUGGAGAUGAUUAGAAAAUAUUUUACAUAGGUAAUUUAAAAGGUAAUCUAAGUUCAACCCAAAUUAAAAUCUGAGCACUUGCAACAAAGCUAGACGGCUUAAACAGGUAUUGUUGUCUUGUUUUUGAAGGUGUUACGGAAUGAGACUAUCCUGAUAGAUCGGGAUUUGAAGCCUGAAUCCAGAGAAAUUUUAUCAAAAGAAAAUGCUCCUAAUUGCAUUUUAAGAUUCGAGCUCACUUACCGAGAAUCUUCUCUUAAACAUUCACUUCUUUCCUGAACUAGGUUUUGAGGUUUAAACCAUGUUAAGACAUAAUAUAAGAGGUGCAAAUUAUGUUUCUUCUUUCCACCUUUUCAGUGAUCUUCUUUAGCGGAAAAAUAUUGUUCUUAGUAUGUCAUAUAAUUAAAAAGGAAUUUUUAACGCAGUGACUUACUUUUUAUUAGAAAUUGUUCUUUAGUUUUGUCUUCUAGGUACAUUUAAGUUUUAACCCCAGGUUGAACUUGGUAGUAACGUGUUAUAAUGUACUACCCUUUGGUAGAAGAUGAUGUCUUUAUUUCUUAUCGUAUAGAUAGUUGUGCUUUCUGUUUAACUCUAAGACUUUUAUUUAAAUGAAAAAAAUACUAAAAGAAUAUGAAUAAUGAUUCUUUGCAUCAUUAUACACUAUCCAAAACUGCAAUAGUAGUGAAAACUUUUUAUUUUUAUGUCCACUAUGCAAGCAAAAUAGAUCACAUAAGUGAAUAAGGAGUCUAUGAAUGUGUUAUAUAUAUAGUGUAUUUAAUAAUUUUUCACUUAUUUUUAUUGUGUUGAAUUUUUGUGCUAUUACAUUUGAAUAUUGCACCUUCAACAUUUUAAUAUACACGUGGCUAAUUAUUUUUUUGCAGCAACUCUCCUCAUAUAGGUGAUGAUAAACAAUGAAGAAAAUGCUCCAGUAUUCUCUAAAUUAAUUAUAUUCUCCAGGUAGUAUAACAUAAACUUUUUGUUAUAACAUUACAACAGUAAUAUAUUUUUUGUACCUUAAUUAAUAGUAUUCAUACUUUGUUGUGUAGAUUUAUUAAGAUAUUAUAGUUAGGUACACCGUACAUGUGGCUUGGAGAAGUUAACUAAACAGUAAAUUCAUAGGAUUAAGAUAACACAACUACUCAACUUUGAAGAUAUAAAAAUUUAGUAAGUUUAUAAUUAAAUUUGAAUGAAACUAUCUAAUUAAGCAAUUACAGGACUUGGAGAUGAUUAGAAAAUAUUUUACAUAGGUAAUUUAAAAGGUAAUCUAAGUUCAACCCAAAUUAAAAUCUGAGCACUUGCAACAAAGCUAGACGGCUUAAACAGGUAUUGUUGUCUUGUUUUUGAAGGUGUUACGGAAUGAGACUAUCCUGAUAGAUCGGGAUUUGAAGCCUGAAUCCAGAGAAAUUUUAUCAAAAGAAAAUGCUCCUAAUUGCAUUUUAAGAUUCGAGCUCACUUACCGAGAAUCUUCUCUUAAACAUUCACUUCUUUCCUGAACUAGGUUUUGAGGUUUAAACCAUGUUAAGACAUAAUAUAAGAGGUGCAAAUUAUGUUUCUUCUUUCCACCUUUUCAGUGAUCUUCUUUAGCGGAAAAAUAUUGUUCUUAGUAUGUCAUAUAAUUAAAAAGGAAUUUUUAACGCAGUGACUUACUUUUUAUUAGAAAUUGUUCUUUAGUUUUGUCUUCUAGGUACAUUUAAGUUUUAACCCCAGGUUGAACUUGGUAGUAACGUGUUAUAAUGUACUACCCUUUGGUAGAAGAUGAUGUCUUUAUUUCUUAUCGUAUAGAUAGUUGUGCUUUCUGUUUAACUCUAGACUGUAUGUAAAAUUUACUUUUGGGGUCAUGUCUAGUUUAUGUGUACUCGUACGAUACAUUUUUUGGGUAGAUUGCAAAACCCUGAAGCACAAACCAAUUAUAAGCAUCACUGUUAUAGUAGCAACUGAAGGAUACAACUAAUAUUGUUAGAAGGAAAAGGGGAAGACCAAAGUAAGAAGUCCAAGAAACAGAUAGGUAGGGCUGUUCACGAACCGAGCCGAGCCGAGUUUUGACCGAGUCGAGCCGAGCUUUAAAUUUUUUCUUAUCGAACCGAGCCGAGUCGAGCUUUCUUAUCGAACAAAAAAGUGUGUUCGAGCUCGAGCUCGAUAACUAACGAGCCGAACACGAGCUUGUUCACGAACAAAUACGAGCCGAGUCGAGUCGAGUCGAGCCGAGCCGAGCUAGAGAAAAAUAAGGCCAAACCGCUACUUUACUCUUAAAAUAGCAAGCCAAAUAAAAUUUUUAGUAUGUUUUGAUGGUACCAUAUUAUAGUUGAUAUUCUCAUGAUCGAUUUGAUAUAUUAUAUGUUGAAUUCGGCGUUCAAUAACAUAUAUAUAUUACGAAAUUAUUAUGAAAAUAUUCUUUUUUUUCGAGCUUUAACGAGCCGAGCUCGAGCCGAACGAGUUCGAGCCGAGCUCGAGCCGAACAUACUAAAAGCUCGGCUCGAGCUCGUUUUCUUAACGAACAAUUUUUUGUGUUCGAGCUCGAGCUCGUUAACUUAACGAGCCGAGCCGAACGAGCUCUUAACGAGCCGAGCUCGAGCUUGUUCGCGAACAACUCGGUUCGUUAAACAGCUCUACAGAUAGGUUCGGUGAAAGAUAUUCUACCAGCACACACACAUAUAGAAUUAAAGAUAUUUUAGACGAAAUAUUUGUUGGAAACUAAUAUGUGUUUACUGUAUGGUGGGAAAUAUAAAACAGAAAUCUAAACACAAGCACACUAUUAUAUAUAUAUGAAAUAAGGUUAUGGCUUAAUUUUGCCUUACACAGAGUACUUAGGCUACAGCCUUUCUUGUUUCACAAACACAGAGCUUCUUCUUAGGCUACAGCCUUUCUUGUUUCACAAACACAGAGCUUCUGCUCUCUUUUUCUAUCUUGUUACAACAAGCUACUUGCGUCUAUUUAACGUACAUGCAUGAGGUUGUAUUUAUAGGAUACAAUACACACAGCUGACCUAAUUCCUUACAUCAACAUAAUAAACACCCUGCAGAUCCAAGAAAGAUAUUAACUUCAGCCUACCUUAUUUCUGGGUUGCAUCAAUGCAUAUACACCUGACCUUGUUGCCGUUUUUUGACUUCCACAAGCUUAGACUAUUAAUAUUAUCCUGCUUCAUUCUUAUCUAGCUGUAUAUAUAUAUUAUGGUUUAACUUUCCCAUGCAUGUACAUCUGUUAUUUUAAUCCUGCUAGCUGUAUUUGACUAGAUUGCUGCUUGCUUCCAUUUAUAUCCCAGAAGACCUGGAAUCUAUUGUGCUGCAUUUACCUCUGCUGCAUGCUUACUAUUCAAACCAAUUUGUUAUAAUUAAUGUAUUGCUAGCUGGAGAGUUUGAAAUUCUAACAAUAUUUUUCUGUACGUAGGUAAGAGAAGCACAGGAGGUAAUGUGGAUAUGAAAGUGAAAUCCAGUGCAGAGAACAACUUUGUAACAACUGUUGUUGAAAUACCCAAAAAAGGUGAUUUUCAGCCUACUAUACCUAGCAAGGAACCUGGGAAACAUGUGUAUAAGAGAAGUAAAGUUCAUCAGCAGAAUGGUGUGCAAGUCAAAAUUCUUGACAGUGAAUGACACUAUCAAGGUAUGUGCUGGAACUUAUUUCAUAUUAGAUACAUGCAAGUAAUUAUUUAGCUGAAGACCAUUCUUUGCAUGUGAUUUUUUAUGCGCUUUUUAAUUGCUGGAAGAUGUUGAGGAAAAAUAUAUCUGUAACUACUAUAAUAGUCUAUUUGGUCCAGUUUAUUUUGUGGCAGUUAGAUUAACCAUUAUCAAUAAUUCAUUUCAUGAUUUUCAGCUUUUCUAUUUGUAUUUUACGGCUAUGAAAAUUCUACUACUGCUAUUGUAUUGGUAACAGAAAGUUUUGUUAUUUUUUGAAGUAGUUCUGUCUGUAAACAGACAAGAUGAUCCCGAAACUCCUCCAUUUAAUCAAGAGAAUGCAAUGGAGUCCGCUCCACUUCAGAAAAAGGAUGGUCCGGGUAAGCUCAUUGACUGAACUAUAAUUGUGAUAUUAUGAUCUGGAAUCUUGUUAUGUUAUCCAUGAAAUUUACCUGUUAAAAAUCUCAAUCAACAUGCUGCAUCAAUUGAUAUAGGUGGUGGAGUUGGAACCCCUGCCAUUGUAGGCAUUGAUGCUAUGGAGAACGAACAGAGUUUGCCAUUUGUUAAGAAUCCUCUACUUUGGGAAGAUAUCCAUUCUAUGGAAACCUAUAAGAAAAUGACACAGAAGCCACACUUCGCUCCACUGUACGAACAUAUAGAAGAAGAACGUGAAGGCUUGGCAGUAGUGUUGGAAACGUGAUGGGUUUAGGCUUUAUCAACUUUGUAAAUUCAAAAUACACACGCCUGUAUAAUAAAACAAACAACAGAAAUUUUAUUUCAUAAACUCAAAGCUACAGCUUGAUUAGAACUUCGGCUCUUUAAUUUGUUUUCUUUUUCUGGUUUUCAAA